UACGUAGGGGCCAAGCGUUGUCCGGAUUUAUUGGGCGUAAAGAGCUCGUAGGCGGUUCGUCACGUCGGCUGUGAAAUCCCGAGGCUCAACCUCGGGUCUGCAGUCGAUACGGGCGGACUGGAGUACUGCAGGGGAGACUGGAAUUCCUGGUGUAGCGGUGAAAUGCGCAGAUAUCAGGAGGAACACCGGUGGCGAAGGCGGGUCUCUGGGCAGUAACUGACGCUGAGGAGCGAAAGCGUGGGGAGCGAACAGG
RNAcentral lists this ribosomal RNA (253 nucleotides) under uncultured bacterium. RNAcentral's name for it is "partial 16S ribosomal RNA". It matches the Rfam family "Bacterial small subunit ribosomal RNA", at positions 524 to 776 of the family's 1533-position model. The record is from RNAcentral.